UAGCUAGUUGGUGGGGUAAGGGCCUACCAAGGCGACGAUCGGUAGCUGGUCUGAGAGGAUGGCCAGCCACACUGGAACUGAGACACGGUCCAGACUCCUACGGGAGGCAGCAGUGGGGAAUAUUGGACAAUGGGGGGAACCCUGAUCCAGCAAUGCCGCGUGUGUGAAGAAGGCCUGAGGGUUGUAAAGCACUUUCAGUGGGGAGGAGUAUUGAUUGGUUAAGAGCUGAUUAAUGGGACGAUACCCACAGAAGAAGCACCGGCUAACUCCGUGCCAGCAGCCGCGGUAAUACGGAGGGUGCGAGCGUUAAUCGGAAUUACUGGGCGUAAAGGGUGCGUAGGUGGUUUGGUAAGUUAUCUGUAAAAUCCCUGGGCUUAACCUGGGCAGGUCAGAUAAAACUGCUGAACUCGAGUAUGGGAGAGGGUAGUGGAAUUUCCGGUGUAGCGGUGAAAUGCGUAGAUAUCGGAAGGAACACCGGUGGCGAAGGCGGCUACCUGGCCUAAUACUGACACUGAGGCACGAAAGCGUGGGGAGCAAACAGGAUUAGAUACCCUGGUAGUCCACGCUGUAAACGAUGUCAACUAGCUGUUGGUUAUAUGAAUAUAAUUAGUGGCGC
Molecule: ribosomal RNA, 616 nt
Filed under: uncultured Legionella sp.
Lineage: Bacteria; Pseudomonadati; Pseudomonadota; Gammaproteobacteria; Legionellales; Legionellaceae
Description: bacterial SSU rRNA
Rfam family: Bacterial small subunit ribosomal RNA
Source: RNAcentral